CCCUCCCUUUAUUUUUGUGAAUUUUGGUGAGAGAGUCUUAAAAAACUUGGGCUCUCUGAGUCAUGGUUUAUCUAGUUUAAAUUUGAUCUCAAUCAGAUUUAAAUUGAGUCCGAAAUGAGUCAAAUUCAAAAAGACUGUUAAGCCUGAUCCAAUCAAGCUUGAAAUCCAAAUCUGAUUUGAAGAAUUGAACCCAAUUAAUAUUAAAU
Molecule: long non-coding RNA, 206 nt
Filed under: Elaeis guineensis (African oil palm)
Lineage: Eukaryota; Viridiplantae; Streptophyta; Magnoliopsida; Arecales; Arecaceae
Description: long non-coding RNA (EGUI_LNC061966)
Source: RNAcentral